This 485-nucleotide ribosomal RNA is filed under the name uncultured bacterium. RNAcentral's name for it is "partial 16S ribosomal RNA". It matches the Rfam family "Bacterial small subunit ribosomal RNA", at positions 28 to 507 of the family's 1533-position model. The record is from RNAcentral.
GAUGAACGCUAGCGGCAGGCUUAAUACAUGCAAGUCGAGCGGCAACGCAGUGUAGCUGUACCCGGGCCGCGAGCGGCAAACGGGUGCGGAACACGUACGCAACCUACCCAUAACUGUGGAAUAGCCCCCAGAAAGGAGGAUUAAUACAUCGUAACUUACUGAAGCGGCAUGGCUUUAUUAAUAUAGCUGCGGCGGUUUUGGUUGGGCGUGCGUCUGAUUAGGUAGAGGGCGGGGUAACGGACCACCAAGCCUGGGACCAGUAACUGGUGUGGGAGCACGACCAGUCGCACGGGAACAGAGACACGGGCCCGACGCCAAGGAGAGGCAGCAGUAAGGAAGAAUGGGCGAUGAACGUAAGUCUGAAACAGCCAGGCUGCGUGAAGGAUGAAGGGCCUCUGAAUUGUAAACUUCUUUUAAAAGGGACGAAACCUCUUUUUCUUGAGAGACUGACGGUACCAUUAGAAUAAGCACCGGCUAACUCCGUG